This 1368-nucleotide ribosomal RNA is filed under the name uncultured bacterium. RNAcentral's name for it is "16S ribosomal RNA". It matches the Rfam family "Bacterial small subunit ribosomal RNA". The record is from RNAcentral.
AGAGUUUGAUCCUGGCUCAGGACGAACGCUGGCGGCGCGCCUAACACAUGCAAGUCGAACGAGCGAGAGAGAGCUUGCUUUCUCAAGCGAGUGGCGAACGGGUGAGUAACGCGUGAGGAACCUGCCUCAAAGAGGGGGACAACAGUUGGAAACGACUGCUAAUACCGCAUAAGCCCACAGGUCGGCAUCGACCAGAGGGAAAAGGAGCAAUCCGCUUUGAGAUGGCCUCGCGUCCGAUUAGCUAGUUGGUGAGGUAACGGCCCACCAAGGCGACGAUCGGUAGCCGGACUGAGAGGUUGAACGGCCACACUGGGACUGAGACACGGCCCAGACUCCUACGGGAGGCAGCAGUGGGGAAUAUUGCACAAUGGGGGAAACCCUGAUGCAGCGACGCCGCGUGGAGGAAGAAGGUCUUCGGAUUGUAAACUCCUGUUGUUGAGGAAGAUAAUGACGGUACUCAACAAGGAAGUGACGGCUAACUACGUGCCAGCAGCCGCGGUAAAACGUAGGUCACAAGCGUUGUCCGGAAUUACUGGGUGUAAAGGGAGCGCAGGCGGGAAGACAAGUUGGAAGUGAAAUCUAUGGGCUCAACCCAUAAACUGCUUUCAAAACUGUUUUUCUUGAGUAGUGCAGAGGUAGGCGGAAUUCCCGGUGUAGCGGUGGAAUGCGUAGAUAUCGGGAGGAACACCAGUGGCGAAGGCGGCCUACUGGGCACCAACUGACGCUGAGGCUCGAAAGUGUGGGUAGCAAACAGGAUUAGAUACCCUGGUAGUCCACACCGUAAACGAUGAUUACUAGGUGUUGGAGGAUUGACCCCUUCAGUGCCGCAGUUAACACAAUAAGUAAUCCACCUGGGGAGUACGACCGCAAGGUUGAAACUCAAAGGAAUUGACGGGGGCCCGCACAAGCAGUGGAGUAUGUGGUUUAAUUCGACGCAACGCGAAGAACCUUACCAAGUCUUGACAUCCCUUGACGAUACUGGAAACAGUAUUUCUCUUCGGAGCAAGGAGACAGGUGGUGCAUGGUUGUCGUCAGCUCGUGUCGUGAGAUGUUGGUUAAGUCCCGCAACGAGCGCAACCCUUACUGUCAGUUACUACGCAAGAGGACUCUGGCAGGACUGCCGUUGACAAAACGGAGGAAGGUGGGGAUGACGUCAAAUCAUCAUGCCCUUUAUGACUUGGGCUACACACGUUCUACAAUGGCGUUAAACAAAGAGAAGCAAGACCGCGAGGUGGAGCAAAACUCAGAAACAACGUCCCAGUUCGGACUGCAGGCUGCAACUCGCCUGCACGAAGUCGGAAUUGCUAGUAAUCGUGGAUCAGCAUGCCACGGUGAAUACGUUCCCGGGCCUUGACACACCGCCCGUCA